RNAcentral lists this ribosomal RNA (253 nucleotides) under uncultured bacterium. RNAcentral's name for it is "partial 16S ribosomal RNA". It matches the Rfam family "Bacterial small subunit ribosomal RNA", at positions 524 to 776 of the family's 1533-position model. The record is from RNAcentral.
UACGGGGGGGGCAAGCGUUGUUCGGAAUUACUGGGCGUAAAGGGCUCGUAGGUGGCCAACUAAGUCAGACGUGAAAUCCCUCGGCUUAACCGGGGAACUGCGUCUGAUACUGGAUGGCUUGAGUUCGGGAGAGGGAUGCGGAAUUCCAGGUGUAGCGGUGAAAUGCGUAGAUACUGGGAGGAACACCGGUGGCGAAGGCGGCUACCUGGACCGGUUCUGACGCUGAUGCGCGAAAGCGUGGGUAGCAAACAGG